ACGCAAGUCGAGGGGUAACAUAGUUUGCUUGCAACUGAUGACGACCGGCGCACGGGUGCGGAACGCGUAUGGAACCUGCCCCUGUCAGGGGAAUAGCCCAGGGAAACUUGGAUUAAUGCCCCAUGGUAUCGUUUUAUCGCAUGAUAAGGUGAUUAAAGAUUUAUCGGACAGGGAUGGCCAUGCGUACCAUUAGUUAGAUGGUGGGGUAACGGUCCACCAUGGCAGCGAUGGUUAGGGGCCCUGAGAAGGGGAUCCCCCACACUGGUACUGAGACACGGACCAGACUCCUACGGGAGGCAGCAGUGAGGAAUAUUGGACAAUGGGCGGGAGCCUGAUCCAGCCAUGCCGCGUGCAGGAUGACGGCCCUAUGGGUUGUAAACUGCUUUUAUACGGGAAGAAACGCACCUACGUGUAGGUGUCUGACGGUACCGUAAGAAUAAGGACCGGCUAACUCCGUGCCAGCAACCGCGGUAAUACGGAGGGUCCGAGCGUUAUCCGGAAUCAUUGGGUUUAAAGGGUCCGUAGGCGGGCAUGUAAGUCAGGGGUGAAAGUUUGUGGCUCAACCAUAAAAUUGCCUUUGAUACUGCAUGUCUUGAGUCAUGGUGGGGUUGCCGGAACAUGUGGUGUAGCGGUGAAAUGCAUAGAUAUCACAUAGAACACCGAUCGCGAAGGCAGGUGACCAACCAUGUACUGACGCUGAUGGACGAAAGCGUGGGCAGCGAACGGGAUUAGAUACCCCGGUAGUCCACGCCGUAAACGAUGGAUACUAGCUGUGGGGACUUCGGUCUCCGUGGCCAAGCGAAAGUGAUAAGUAUCCCACCUGGGGAGUACGUUCGCAAGAAUGAAACUCAAAGGAAUUGACGGGGGCCCGCACAAGCGGUGGAGCGUGUGGUUUAAUUCGAUGAUACGCGAGGAACCUUACCAGG
RNAcentral lists this ribosomal RNA (926 nucleotides) under uncultured Bacteroidota bacterium. Its description in RNAcentral is "bacterial SSU rRNA". It matches the Rfam family "Bacterial small subunit ribosomal RNA", at positions 55 to 978 of the family's 1533-position model. The record is from RNAcentral. Lineage: Bacteria; Pseudomonadati; Bacteroidota.